GCCGGUCAUGGUGGCACGCGUGUGUAGUCCCAGCUACUCGGGAGGCUGAGGUGGGAGGAUCGCUUGAGUCCAGGAGUUCUGGGCUGCAGUGCGCUAUGCCGAUCGGGUGUCCGCACUAAGUUCGGCAUCAAUAUGGUGACCUCCCGGGAGCGGGGGACCACCAGGUUGCCUAAGGAGGGGUGAACCGGCCCAGGUCGGAAACGGAGCAGGUCAAAACUCCCGUGCUGAUCAGUAGUGGGAUCGCGCCUGUGAAUAGCCACUGUACUCCAGCCUGGGCAACAUAGUGAGACCCCUUCUCUU
Non-coding RNA from Heterocephalus glaber (naked mole-rat), 300 nucleotides. NCBI's taxonomy places the organism in Eukaryota, Metazoa, Chordata, Mammalia, Rodentia, Bathyergidae. The record is from Rfam.